AUGGAUGGCCUCGAGUUCUUCUUUGAGGAAGCAGAAUCAGGAUUGGUACCCAGGGCUGAUGCGGGUGAUUCGUUGGGUGGAGGAAUCGAUGUUGUGGAGUCUGUGGUUGCUUCCAUCCAUGAAGGGCGCGGGCGCUCCUCUGAUGUGAUUUCUUCCGAGCCGAUGGAUGACAGCAAUGCCAAAGAGCAGUUGAGAGUGGUGGGGGCGAAUCUCGGGUCAUACAACAACGGUGGGAGUGAGAUCGUUGGCGACUCGAACGAUGUGAAGGCUCGGAACACUUCCUCUGCAUCAAUAGGAGAGGAGGGAGAUGCAGAAGGCGUCGUUGUCAACAAAACAAAGGCUUCCUGUUGGACUCGACGGGUAUGCAAAGUCAGGAUUGGCAACACACCAGAAGAGAGGGAUGCCAACCCAAGCAGAGUCCCUGCCCUCGAGGCUUCGAUGAGAGCUUAUGCAGAAAACAAGGGUGGCACAGUUGUUAACCCGUCGCUCGGAACUAGCUUUGACACGGUUGAAGAAGCGUAUGAGUUUUACAACCUAUAUUCCUGGGAGAUGGGGUUUGGCGUUCGGAAACAAAAUGAGGCUUACACUGUCGAUCGGGCACUUGUAGAAACGCUUGCCCUCGUUUUCGCCUUCUUUCCCACUGAUGUUGGUCUCCACCUGAACCUCGCCGCAGUCCGGGCACAUGAUGAGCGGCAAGUGCUGGUGCCUUUGACUGGAACGAACUGA
RNAcentral lists this ribosomal RNA (726 nucleotides) under Triticum aestivum (bread wheat). RNAcentral describes it as "partial small subunit ribosomal RNA". Lineage: Eukaryota; Viridiplantae; Streptophyta; Magnoliopsida; Poales; Poaceae. The record is from RNAcentral.